Molecule: ribosomal RNA, 252 nt
Filed under: uncultured bacterium
Lineage: Bacteria
Description: partial 16S ribosomal RNA
Rfam family: Bacterial small subunit ribosomal RNA
Source: RNAcentral
UAGAGAGGAAAGUGGCGGACGGGUGAGUAAAAUGUAGAGAAUCUGCCCUUGAGCGGGGGACAACAGUUGGAAACGGCUGCUAAUACCCCAUAUGAGCGUAUCUGAGAUGGUAUUCUUGAAAACUCCGGUGCUCAAGGAUGAGUCUGCAUCUGAUUAGCUAGUUGGCGGGGUAAUGGCCCACCAAGGCGACGAUCAGUAGCUGGUUUGAGAGGAUGAUCAGCCACAAUGGGACUGAGACACGGCCCAUACUCC